CCUACGGGCGGCAGCAGUGGGGAAUAUUGGACAAUGGGGGGAACCCUGAUCCAGCCAUGUCGCGUGUGUGAAGAAGGCCCUCGGGUUGUAAAGCACUUUCAGUGAGGAAGAACGCCUGGUGGUUAAUACCCAUCAGGAAAGACAUCACUCACAGAAGAAGCACCGGCUAACUCCGUGCCAGCAGCCGCGGUAAUACGGAGGGUGCGAGCGUUAAUCGGAAUUACUGGGCGUAAAGCGCGCGUAGGUGGCUUGAUAAGCCGGUUGUGAAAGCCCCGGGCUCAACCUGGGAACGGCAUCCGGAACUGUCAAGCUAGAGUGCAGGAGAGGAAGGUAGAAUUCCCGGUGUAGCGGUGAAAUGCGUAGAGAUCGGGAGGAAUACCAGUGGCGAAGGCGGCCUUCUGGACUGACACUGACACUGAGGUGCGAAAGCGUGGGUAGCAAACAGGAUUAGAUACCCGAGUAGUC
Molecule: ribosomal RNA, 465 nt
Filed under: Vreelandella stevensii
Lineage: Bacteria; Pseudomonadati; Pseudomonadota; Gammaproteobacteria; Oceanospirillales; Halomonadaceae
Description: partial 16S ribosomal RNA
Rfam family: Bacterial small subunit ribosomal RNA
Source: RNAcentral